Molecule: long non-coding RNA, 2084 nt
Organism: Mustela putorius furo (domestic ferret)
Lineage: Eukaryota; Metazoa; Chordata; Mammalia; Carnivora; Mustelidae
Source: Ensembl
AUGCCAAUGAACAUGGCUACCAGCCUCCCAACCUUAACCGCAGAGUGGCGUGGACAUGCAGGAAGCUUUGCCUUUCUUCCUUCUUUUGUUGGAGCCCCAGAGUUAGAAGCCGCUGAAACAUUGAGACUCGCGGUCAGACUUAAAAUUCCAGAUUCCAAGCAAAAUCUCCCACCAGGUCCUUCUUCCAACUCUCCAGACACCAUCUCAUUAAGCAGUGUGGCCAUGCGGUCUGUUUCCAGGGGGUAGAUUCGACCCGUAAGUCCCUCAGCACUCAGGAUGAGGCCAUGCCCAUCGUGGAUCUUCUCAGAUCUGUUUUACCUGUACUGUGGUUUUCAAAUAGCCUGUUCAAGUAAAGACAGCAUGGAGGUAUAUUACACCUCAUGCGGAGAACAGUGAUGCUCUCCCAGACUUUUGCACCUGAUCAGAUGUUCAUGACAGUUCGAUGAGUUCAGGAAAGAUAGUAGGACUUCCUGCAGAUGUGAUGCUGCUCUGUUUCUCCAGGUGUGGGGGGAGACAGGACACUGCCCAGCGGGUAAGCUCUCCCAAAGUUUCUCUUAUCUAAUCAGAAUAUUAUCAGUGGGUUUUUUGUUCAGUUCAUUAAUGAAUAUAUGUUUGAUGUUCCUCCUUAGGACUAUUAUAUAAAUACGAUGGAGGAUUGAAAAAAUGUAAUAAAUGAAAUUGUUCUCAUCUGCAAGGAGCUAUGGUAUAAUUAGAAAGACAACACGUGCAGUCUUUGUGGUAUUCUUACGAAUAUCACAGGACUUGUAAAGCAAGGGAUAGAUAUUUAAGAAAGCUUUUUUUUUUUUUUAAGAAUAUAUUCCUUUGAGAGAGAGAGAGAGCUCGAGGACAAGUGGGGCAGGGAGGGGCAGAGGGAGAGGAAGAAACAGACUCCCCACUGAGCAGGGAGCCUAAUUCAGGGCUCGAUCCCACGACCCCAGGAUCAUGACCCAAGAUGAAGGCAGACGCUUAACCUACUGAGCCACCCAAGCGCCUGAAGAAAUCUUGUUGAGUACCUACUGUGUUCUAGGCAUUCUUCCAAGCGCUAAGAACUCAAGAGUGAGUAAAAGAGAUAAAAAGCCUCCCCUCUUAGAACUAACAUUCUAGAUGGGAAGAAAGACAAGGUAGAUAAAAAAGAUAAAUAAGUAAAAUGGGCGCUCGGUUAGUGGGAUGACACGGCAGAGGCUGACAGUGGUUAUGGUUUUAAGUAAGACUUCCUGGAAAAGCCUCAAUAAAAAUAGAGUCAUGUGAGUAAAGACCCAAAGGGAAAGAGGACCGAGUUAUCCAGCAGUGAAGGGAAGGGCAUUUCAGGCAAAGGGAACAGCCAGUGCAAAGGCCACAAAGGACCCUUUCAUCUGUGUUGAGGAAGAAGGAGGCCAGUGGGGCUGGAGUGUGUGGCUGCGUGAGAGAGGGGGUAGAGAAGGGAUCAGAAAAACAACCGGGAACCAGACCCUGCAGGGACUGUCCUUGGCAGGGACUUUGGAGUUUCCUCAGAGUGCAAUGGGGAGCCACUAGAUACUUUUGAGCAGUGCAACAACAUAUGUGACUUGACAGGGGACAGGAGGUGAGGUGAGUGUGUCCUUGGGAGGGCUAUUGUAAUAAUGAAGGCCAGAAAUGACGCCCACUAAAGCUGGGGGUUGGGGGGGUGGAGUUAGUUUAACUGGGCUCAGUCCUCACUGGGCUUGUGCGCAGUUGCACACAGGGAUGCCGUGGUGGAAGGGUUGUGUUCACCAGGCUCAGGAUUUGGCCAAGGAUGAGGAUAUGAGAGAGGCAAGGAGUGGAGAUGAAUGGAAGGGCAUGGUUUUAAUGAGGGGCCGUGGAAUCAAAAUGGGGUAAGGGGAGAAGUGAGAGUGUGAAGGGAAUGAGGAAAACAAACAGGCCGUGCAGUGAAUAGCAGGAAAUUCUGGGGUGGGUGGGGCAUUCUCUUCCGUCAGGUCCAGUGGUAGAAGUGAGAGGGCUGUAACUUCAGCGGAGUCUGGAAGGACAGCCAGGUUUCUGUUAGAGCAAGACGCCAAGGAAGUUUUCUGAGGAGAUCAUGGGGAUAUAGAGGUGUGUGGAUGGUUGAAUGGAAGCACCAGAAGGCACGG